GACGAACGCUGGCGGUGUGCUUAACACAUGCAAGUCGAACGAUGAAGCUGGAGCUUGCUCCGGUGGAUUAGUGGCGAACGGGUGAGUAACACGUGAGCAAUCUGCCCUUCACUCUGGGAUAACUGCGGGAAACUGUAGCUAAUACCGGAUACGAGACCUUGGGGCAUCCCAGGGUCUGGAAAGAAUUUCGGUGAAGGAUGAGCUCGCGGCCUAUCAGCUAGUUGGUGAGGUAAUGGCUAACCAAGGCGACGAGGGGUAGCCGGCCUGAGAGGGUGACCGGCCACACUGGGACUGAGACACGGCCCAGACUCCUACGGGAGGCAGCAGUGGGGAAUAUUGCACAAUGGGCGAAAGCCUGAUGCAGCAACGCCGCGUGAGGGAUGAAGGCCUUCGGGUUGUAAACCUCUUUUAGUAGGGAAGAAGCGCAAGUGACGGUACCUACAGAAAAAGCACCGGCUAACUACGUGCCAGCCGCCGCAGUAA
RNAcentral lists this ribosomal RNA (483 nucleotides) under uncultured bacterium. Its description in RNAcentral is "partial 16S ribosomal RNA". It matches the Rfam family "Bacterial small subunit ribosomal RNA", at positions 28 to 523 of the family's 1533-position model. The record is from RNAcentral.